AAGUCGUAACAAGGUUUCCGUAGGUGAACCUGCGGAAGGAUCAUUACAGAAAACGGCUCCGGCCAUUUCUAACCCUUGAUUAUUUUCCUGUUGCUUCGGCGCUGCGGCGCCGAUGCCACCAAACUCAGAAACUGAUGUGUCUGACAAACAUUUAAUAAAUCAAAACUUUCAACAACGGAUCUCUUGGUUCCC
This 192-nucleotide unclassified non-coding RNA is filed under the name fungal sp. RNAcentral's name for it is "partial internal transcribed spacer region". The stretch from base 1 to 46 matches the Rfam family "Eukaryotic small subunit ribosomal RNA", at positions 1786 to 1831 of the family's 1831-position model. The record is from RNAcentral. Lineage: Eukaryota; Fungi.